AGCCUCUCUACCCCAGGGUAGGGGUAAGGUCUGCGUACAAACUAUCCUCUCCAGACCCCACUAGUGGGAUUAUUGUUGUUGUUGUUUUUGGUUAUCUUUUAAGGAUCUUUAGUUUAACAUUCAUGUAGUAAUUAUUUCCUUUUCCUAUCUCGAAGCUAAGCAUUUUCAGUACAGCUACUGUAGCUCAUGCUACUGAUAAUUUUGCAGUAAACAACAAGCUUGGUGAAGGAGGAUCUGGACCUGUUUACAAGGUGACGGGUUGGAGAGUGUAUGCUGUCAAUGGUUGAGGGCGCAAGGUGAAUUAUAUACCGAGCACAAUGUGCUGAAAGAACGGGUUUGGGUGGGGUGGGGAGAGGGGGUUUGGCGGGGUUGCAGCACGAUAGCUUGAACUUCUGGUUGGAGGCUUGCUUACAUGUGGUGUUCUUGUUAUCUCUCAGUUUUAGCUCUCCAUUUUUCUCUGGAGCAGAAGGGUUGGGAGUCUAUAUGUGUAAGACAUUGGACUGAGAAAUUGUUAGGGGUUCCCUAGUUGAAAGUUGAAACUAUUGAAUUUGGCUUUGCGAUCUCUUUUUAAGUUUUGUACUAUGAUGGCAAGAGUUGAACUUAAAUACAAUGUGACGAUUUAUAUAGCCGACAACAACUUGUUUUGGGACUGAGACGUAGUUGUUGUUGGUUCUCUCUUUAAAGUUUCGGAGCUCCGGUGUCUGCGGAUAGUUCUUCUUUCUUUUCUUUCCAAUAUAUUUGUUGCAUUUGACUUUCUUCCUACCUUAUAGGACAUUUAUUUUGUGUUGUCCAAAGGAACAAAGAAUUCUCAAGAUCAUAAUAUAACCUGAUUUUGUACCUGAA
Molecule: non-coding RNA, 843 nt
Organism: Nicotiana tabacum (common tobacco)
Lineage: Eukaryota; Viridiplantae; Streptophyta; Magnoliopsida; Solanales; Solanaceae
Source: RefSeq, a predicted model, not a curated record